CCUCCCUAUUUUAAAUCAACGGACCAAUCCAUCCAAAUAUUGGAUAAAUCAAAUCAUUUUUUUUAUUUUUAUCAUAUAAUUUAAAUAUAUCCAAAAUUUAUUAAAACACUUAUUCAAAUAUUUCUCCGUUCGACAAAACUCUUCUUCACGUGAUCCAUCGCUAGCGCAAGUUGCCUCAAGAGAAACUAAGAAAAUGUAAUGACAUAAAUUCAUUUUUGCACAUGGAUUUUACAAUUCCACC
This 241-nucleotide long non-coding RNA is filed under the name Elaeis guineensis (African oil palm). RNAcentral describes it as "long non-coding RNA (EGUI_LNC004095)". Lineage: Eukaryota; Viridiplantae; Streptophyta; Magnoliopsida; Arecales; Arecaceae. The record is from RNAcentral.